RNAcentral lists this non-coding RNA (70 nucleotides) under Paraphysomonas imperforata. Lineage: Eukaryota; Chrysophyceae; Chromulinales; Paraphysomonadaceae. The record is from RNAcentral.
GCACCGCGGGUGCUGAUCCACCAGCUCAACGAUGCGCAUUACAACCGGGCGCGCAACUGGCAUCAGGACG